Molecule: transfer RNA, 85 nt
Filed under: Algicola sp.
Lineage: Bacteria; Pseudomonadati; Pseudomonadota; Gammaproteobacteria; Alteromonadales; Pseudoalteromonadaceae
Also listed under: 1 other name
Description: tRNA-Ser
Rfam family: tRNA
About the family: Transfer RNA (tRNA) molecules are approximately 80 nucleotides in length.
Source: RNAcentral
GGAGAGGUGCAUGAGUGGCUGAAAUGGCACGCCUGGAAAGCGUGUAUACCGCAAGGUAUCGAGGGUUCGAAUCCCUCUCUCUCCG